AAGAAUGAAAAAUCAGUAAUAGCGCAGUAAAGAAAAUUAUAUGGCGAUGUAAAUUCAAUUAAUACCAGGGAGCAUGAAGCACUCUUGUCUGGCGCGCAUUCUUCACUCCUGAUAGCAAGAGCGAACUUUGAAACGUUGACCGUUUGGGCGGUGGUUGGGUGCUCACAGGAGCAGCCUCAGACAAUGGGAGGAAAUGAUGACGUCAAACAGCGCGGUGUCUGGUAGACCAGUGCUUCAUUCUCGCAGGGGAAGCUAGGGCAACGGUUGUGGUGUAGGUGCGCACCCGUCUGGAUUUCGCUUUAAUGCAAGAUUUCCAUAAACAUUGACGUCAUAAUUGGUUACUAUAUUUAAUGAAUAACAGAGGGGGAUUUGCGAAGCUCUCCUCUCUGGACGACCUUUGGAACGGAUGAUGUCACGACCAAUGACAGUGCAGUGCUCCUGAUGCCCUGGCGGAGAAAUCAACGGACGCUUCAUUGCUUCGGGUGGAUCUCUGAGUGGCGGUCAUGCUGUUGGUGCUCUCCUCGCCACGGAUUUCGUGACGAGCGACUGUUUUUGACUGAGUGAUGUGUGUGGAAAUACUUCGGUGCCGCACCUGGAACGCAACUGUAGAGCCGGCUGUCUCCUCCCUGGCUCACGGUCUCCAGCCCUGGAAUCACUGGCGCACGUUCUGCAACGGUGUCACCGCACCCACGGCCUGCGGGUGAAUAGGCACGACAACAUCAUGAGCUAUGUCUGCAGCCGUUUGCGCCAGUGUGGCUGGGAUGCCGUCAGGGAACCCGUCAUCAGGACAGCGGAGGGCAACCGGAAACCUGACAUCGUGGCCAACAGGGGAGAGCAGUCUGUCAUCCUCGACGUCCAGAAGUUCACCUGCUGAGAAGACGCGGAGAGGGAAGCUGCCUGAGGAUUCCUGGACAACCAUGGAGAAGAGUUCCUGUUGGCGCCGGCGUGUACGCUGCGGGCGGGCAUACAAAGAGGAGUGGUCGGGAGGCUGCCAGGAGGAAGUCAUCGUUUUUUUCUGUUAGAACUUUACGAGGUCCCUCUAAUACGUGGCACGGGGUGGCCUCUAUUAAACAACCAAUCGCUUGUCUUGGCUACGAUCUUGACUACGGUCCUAAGCCUCCUUUGAAAGCGCCCCAACCGCCCUU
Long non-coding RNA from Ornithodoros turicata, 1145 nucleotides. RefSeq lists it as uncharacterized. NCBI's taxonomy places the organism in Eukaryota, Metazoa, Arthropoda, Arachnida, Ixodida, Argasidae. The transcript is spliced from 3 exons. The record is from RefSeq and is a predicted model, not a curated record.